This 365-nucleotide ribosomal RNA is filed under the name uncultured bacterium. Its description in RNAcentral is "bacterial SSU rRNA". It matches the Rfam family "Bacterial small subunit ribosomal RNA", at positions 28 to 418 of the family's 1533-position model. The record is from RNAcentral.
GACGAACGCUGGCGGCGUGCCUAAUGCAUGCAAGUCGAACGAGACCUUCGGGUCUAGUGGCGGACGGGUGAGUAACACGUUGGUACCUACCCCGAAGUGGGGAAUAACUGCCCGAAAGGGUGGCUAAUACCGCAUAAUACCGCAAGGUUAAAGCAGUAAUGCGCUUCGGGAGGGGCCUGCGUCCCAUUAGCUUGUUGGUAGUGUAAUGGACUACCAAGGCGACGAUGGGUAGCUGGUUCGAGAGGAUGACCAGCCACACUGGGACUGAGAUACGGCCCAGACUCCUACGGGGAGGCAGCAGUAAGGAAUCUUCCACAAUGGACGAAAGUCUGAUGGAGCAACACCGCGUGCAGGAUGACGGUCUU